Molecule: long non-coding RNA, 938 nt
Filed under: Musa acuminata (dwarf banana)
Lineage: Eukaryota; Viridiplantae; Streptophyta; Magnoliopsida; Zingiberales; Musaceae
Description: long non-coding RNA (MACU_LNC008445)
Source: RNAcentral
UAUAAUUAAAUAUUUUAUCUAUAAAAUUCCUUAAUAUUAAGUUUUUCUCAAAUGACAUCCCCUUAAUUAAUUUUUACUUUGAAACAUUCUUUUGCAUCCUAACAAAAAUACCCUCGAUUCUUCACCCAUCACCGCCGACCAUCGUCGCCUCCGCCACCCCUUGCUACUACCGCAAGUGGGGCCUCCUCCCCCUCCCUUCCCCCUCCUCCCUGUUUUCCCAUCGCUCACACUUCCUCGUCGCCGUCGGAGCAGCGGGUGGAGUGGAGGUGAGCGACGAGGGCAUUAGCGGCGAGGACGAAGAAGGCAGCGAAGUGGGCAACGGAGAUCCGGGACCCCAUCAACGGCGGCCGCUUGUUCCGCACCUUCGCCACCAUCGAGGAGGCGGCCGCCGCUUACUGUGCGCCCACGUCCCGACUCGAGGAGAGGAGAAGCGCCGCCUCUGGCACCCCGCACCCGUGCCUGCCCCCGCCGCGGAGGACUCAGCUUCCUUUAGGUCCCCGCGUCGUCUUCUUCGUCUCUCAUCGUAGUGGGAGCAACGGCGAGGGCGACGGAGGCCCUCGCCGCCCUCCUCCGCUCUACCCGCUGUUCCCACCGCGACGAGGAAGGGCCGGCGGCGAGAAAGGGAGGGAGGGACGGGGGCGAGGAGGGACGGAGAGAGGGAAGGGAGGAGGGGUGGCAGUGGCGACGGAGGCGGCGAUCCAGGGUGGCGACAGCGGGUGAAGGACCAAGGUGCAUUUUGAUCAAAUUGAUGAGAAACGAGCACCCUCAAGUAACAAUCAAUUAAGAAGAUAUUAUUUGAUAAAAAAUUAAUAUUGAAAGAUUUUUAACGUAAAAUGUUCUAUAUAAUUUGUUAUAUGUAAUUCAUAUUUUGUGAUCGUAUUAUCGUUAUAAAUACUUAUUGUUUGGCAACGUUAUUAGAAUUGGAUUGUUGUUGUUCU